AGAUACCCCAGCCCCACUAGUGUGCUGACAAAUGUUCAACAGUUGCUUAACGAUGAUUUCUCUGAAAACAACAACAAAUGAAUGAAUAGAACCUCCCAAGCCCCAAGCCCUGAUUCUUAGCAUUUGCUGACUUUGGAGGUAGAAAUGCUUCUCGGCCAUGGCUGAUUUCUAGCUUGCGAAAUCCCUGACAGCUGUCUGCUCUCCUGAGUUGCAUAAGCUGCUCCGCCCAGCCCAUCCCCACCAUGGGGGCCCCUCCUCUCCUGCACCUGGUGGUUCAGAGCCAGGCCUCUGCAGGUCCUGCCAGCAGCUCCAAUUGCAGGACAAGGUGCUUCCCUGGCCUGCACUCUACUGCCCAGGAGCCCAGCCCUUCCCAGGCCCUCGUCAGCUCUGAACCAAGGUGGCGGCGUGGAGGAGGACAGCUGGAAAGACGGCUGUGACAGACCGGCAAAGGUGAGAAGGCAGAGGCCCCAGGCAAGUGGACAGCCUGCAGGUGGAAGGCAGUUCACAGACGGCUGGGCGUGUGCUGUGGGGUCUGCGCAGUCCUGCUGUCCAUCCCAAAGACACACCCCAGGCCUGGUCAUUGGAGUCCACCGCCCUGGCACAGCUGCCGAGGAACCUAGUGAUCAGGCAACCACUCUUUGUGGCUCUCCUUUUGAGACAGGGAAAAAACAGGUAGGCAGUGUAGGUGAGAAUGAGAGGUCUGGUAGAGAGAAGAGGCUAGGACUGCUCUCCAGGUCAGCAGUCAGCAGGGGAAAUAAGGAGGGUCUCCAAGAGGACGACUGUUUUUCAAAGAAAGAACAAAAGGUUGCUGGUGGUGAUUUUUCAAGAAAAAUCAAACACUUCCACGUUCCUGUUCUCAGGCACAUAUGUAUAGGGAAGAAAGGAAAGUGAGGGUUAAGGAGAGAAGAUCUGGGGGCUGUGGGAAGGCCAGUG
This 933-nucleotide long non-coding RNA is filed under the name Marmota monax (woodchuck). Lineage: Eukaryota; Metazoa; Chordata; Mammalia; Rodentia; Sciuridae. The record is from RNAcentral.